AUACGGAGGGUGCAAGCGUUGUCCGGAUUUAUUGGGUUUAAAGGGUGUGUAGGCGGUGUAUUAAGUCAGUGGUGAAAGCCUGCGGCUCAACCGUAGAACUGCCAUUGAUACUGACACACUUGAGUUUGGUUGAGGUAGGCGGAAUUUAUGGUGUAGCGGUGAAAUGCAUAGAUACCAUAAAGAACACCGAUAGCGAAGGCAGCUUACUAAGCCGAAACUGACGCUGAGGCACGAAAGCGUGGGGAGCGAACAGGAUUAGAAACCCCAGUAGUCC
RNAcentral lists this ribosomal RNA (274 nucleotides) under uncultured bacterium. Its description in RNAcentral is "partial 16S ribosomal RNA". It matches the Rfam family "Bacterial small subunit ribosomal RNA", at positions 523 to 796 of the family's 1533-position model. The record is from RNAcentral.